Auxenochlorella protothecoides is the source of this 72-nucleotide transfer RNA. It matches the Rfam family "tRNA". Rfam says of the family: Transfer RNA (tRNA) molecules are approximately 80 nucleotides in length. Their secondary structure includes four short double-helical elements and three loops (D, anti-codon, and T loops). The record is from Rfam. Lineage: Eukaryota; Viridiplantae; Chlorophyta; Trebouxiophyceae; Chlorellales; Chlorellaceae.
UUCGGAAUGGCGCAGAGGUAGCGUGCGGGGCCCAUAACCCCGAGGUCACAGGAUCGAAACCUGUUUCCGAAA